Molecule: ribosomal RNA, 234 nt
Filed under: uncultured bacterium
Lineage: Bacteria
Description: partial 16S ribosomal RNA
Rfam family: Bacterial small subunit ribosomal RNA
Source: RNAcentral
GCCCAAGAGAUCGGGAUAACACCUGGAAACAGAUGCUAAUACCGGAUAACAACACUAGACGCAUGUCUAGAGUUUAAAAGAUGGUUCUGCUAUCACUCUUGGAUGGACCUGCGGUGCAUUAGCUAGUUGGUAAGGCAACGGCUUACCAAGGCAAUGAUGCAUAGCCGAGUUGAGAGACUGAUCGGCCACAUUGGGACUGAGACACGGCCCAAACUCCUACGGGAGGCAGCAGAU